This 927-nucleotide ribosomal RNA is filed under the name fungal sp. SMCD2206. RNAcentral describes it as "eukaryotic LSU rRNA". The stretch from base 138 to 927 matches the Rfam family "Eukaryotic large subunit ribosomal RNA", at positions 1 to 983 of the family's 3401-position model. Lineage: Eukaryota; Fungi. The record is from RNAcentral.
UCUAUUUGCCUCAACGUAGCGAUUCUGGACUGACCAUACGUCCGAGCUUAGUGACUAUGAUCAGCGUGGAUUUUCUCUCUGUGUCUGCUACUGCCGAUGCCUUUCUUCCCCGAUACUUCUGUCGUACAUCCUUUCCAUCUCCCAGAAUUUCGAUGGCGUAUUAGCAGGCUCGCACGGCUGUCGAGUCGAAUUCUCGCUGUCCAACUCCUUCUUGGAUGACUUCCGUAUGUUCAUGGUGUUCUUAAUGGGAGGUAUAUGUCUUCUAAAGCUAAAUACCGGCCAGAGACCGAUAGCGCACAAGUAGAGUGAUCGAAAGAUGAAAAGCACUUUGAAAAGAGAGUUAAAAAGUACGUGAAAUUGUUGAAAGGGAAACGUUUAUGACCGGACUUGGACUUGGUUAAUCAUCUGGGGUUCUCCCCAGUGCACUUUUCCAGUCCAGGCCAGCAUCAGUUUUCCCCGGGGGAUAAAGACUUCAGUAAUGUGGCUCUCUUCGGUCAGUGUUAUAACCCGUUGUGGAAUACCCUGGAGGGGACUGAGGUUCGCGCAUCUGCAAGGAUGCUGGCGUAAUGUGCAUCAACGACCCGUCUUGAGACACGGACCACGGAGUCGUCUUCGUAUGCGAGUGUUCGGGUGUCACACCCCUACACGUAAUGAAAGUGAACGCAGGUGAGAGCUUCGGCGCAUCAUCGACCGAUCCUGAUGUUCUCGGAUGGAUUUGAGUAAGAGCAUACGGAGCCGGACCCGACAGAAAGAUGAACUAUGCCUGUAUGAGGUGAAUGCCAGACGGAAACUCUGUCUGGAGGCUCGCAGCGGUUCUGACGUGCAAUCGAUCGAUCAAUAUGGGUGAUGGAGUGGCGAAGACUAAUCGAACCAUCCUAGCUAGCUGGCUUGCCUGCCUGACGUUUCCCCUUCCCCGGAAGGAAACCA